AACAAGGGAAGCAAACUAGAGUAACAAGGUACAAAAAGCUAGAACCACAAGAAACCAAAGAUCUAAAACUGAAAGUCAAUCCAUCAUAUCCCGCAACAGUCCCAUAGAAACAGUUUGGCAUCGGAGCUGCGCCAAGAAACAUGAGCCUCGAUAAGAAAAACCAAGAGCACAACCAACAACAACCCGACAGAACAGAAAGCGAGACCAAUCCGCAACAGAGCACAGCCACAAACACCAACACAUCAACUCCAGAAAGAUAAAGAGCUUGGGAGAAACUAAGCUCAAAGAAAACCUUGAAAAAGACUGAGGAAAAGCCAAAUAGGAACACCAACACUUACACGCGGACAAAGCGAACCAAUCAAAGCCAUCUACAGACAAAGACCGGUCACGACCUCGCAAGAGAAGGAUUGGAGAACGACACCACUGUUGUGCCUUGAAUCCAACCACUAAAACCUAUAAGAGUUUCAGAGGAGAGCUAUCAAAAUAGUUUCUAAACAAUAAACUUUAGGUUAAAAAACAACAAAAGAAAAUAAGUGGUCUUUACAAUAUCGUCAUUAUCAUAAAAGAAAAUAA
Molecule: long non-coding RNA, 573 nt
Filed under: Arabidopsis lyrata
Lineage: Eukaryota; Viridiplantae; Streptophyta; Magnoliopsida; Brassicales; Brassicaceae
Description: long non-coding RNA (ALYR_LNC002096)
Source: RNAcentral